Molecule: long non-coding RNA, 516 nt
Filed under: Elaeis guineensis (African oil palm)
Lineage: Eukaryota; Viridiplantae; Streptophyta; Magnoliopsida; Arecales; Arecaceae
Description: long non-coding RNA (EGUI_LNC044854)
Source: RNAcentral
UCUUCGGCGGCCACCGUGCUGCCUUGCCGAGUGCCGCCACCUCCCAAAAAGACCCAAACCUUCCUCCUUAAGCCCAUCUUAUUUUGUUCCGAGGGACUUGGGUGUGAGAUCCUCCAAAAUCCAUCCCGCCGACUGCUGCCAUCAGCGUCGCCGCCAUCUAUGAUAAGCUUCCUUCCCUUCUCUCCCUUUCCUUCCGGCCCUAGGUGUCACCACCUUGGAAUAAGGGGUAGAUCCCCUUUUCUUCCUUUCUGGUUCUCUAUCGUCGUUCGCCAAACCGCCACCUCUAGCCAUUGUCGUGCUGCCACUGCAGGCCGCUUGGACUGCCUCAUCAUCGAAACCCCACCUCCAGUCAACCCUCAUGAAACUCCAAGGGGUCUUGGGUUCGAUAAGAGAGAAAGAAGAAAAAUAAGAGAGAGAGAGGGGAAAAGAGAGAGAAAGGGAAGAGAGAGGGAUUCAAAUUUUAGGUGAACCUAACCUAUUGAUUGGAUUCAAUCUAAUUGAGUUUAGGUCAACCCG